Molecule: ribosomal RNA, 440 nt
Filed under: uncultured bacterium
Lineage: Bacteria
Description: partial 16S ribosomal RNA
Rfam family: Bacterial small subunit ribosomal RNA
Source: RNAcentral
CCUACGGGUGGCAGCAGUGGGGAAUAUUGCACAAUGGGGGAAACCCUGAUGCAGCGACGCCGCGUGAGCGAUGAAGUCCCUCGGUAUGUAAAGCUCUAUCAGUAGGGAAGUAAAUGACGGUACCUGACUAAGAAGCCCUGGCUCACUACGUGCCAGCAGCCGCGGUACCACGGAGGGGGCCAGCGUUAUCCGGAUUUACUGGGCGUUAAGGGAGCGUAGACGGGUGUGCAAGCCAGUUGUGAAAGCCCGGGGCUCAACCCCGGGACUGCAUUUGAAACUGUGUGGCUGGAGUGUCGGAGAGGCAGGCGGAAUUCGUGGUGUAGCGGUGAAAUGCGUAGAUAUUACGAGGAACGCCGAUGGCGAAGGCAGCCUACUGGACGGUGACUGACAUUGAGGCUCGAAAGCGUGGGUAGCAAACAGGAUUAGAUACCCCGGUAGUC